Molecule: ribosomal RNA, 398 nt
Filed under: Globigerinella siphonifera
Lineage: Eukaryota; Foraminifera; Rotaliida; Globigerinidae
Description: bacterial SSU rRNA
Source: RNAcentral
AAUCUUACCGGGGUCCGGACACACUGAGCAGACAGUUGUCUUUCCCUCCCUUCGGGGUGGGAUAAAAGAUAACAGAUCUUUCAUGAUCAUGUGAUGGGUGGUGCAUGGCCGUUCUUAGUUCGUGGAGUGAUCUGUCUGCUUAAUUGCGUUUCAAAUUUUAUAUUUGUUAACAUGCGAGUCUUCAAUGACGGCCACUCCACCUUAUAGACAUUAUAUGAUAUGCACAUUUGUGUAUUUGAUUAUAACUUGUCUGGAGUCUGGCUCGAUUUUUUUGACUCAAUUGAACGCAACGGACGUGAUUGCAAGUCCUUGUUGAACAAAUUAUAUAUAUACUACUUCAUCAUUAGUAUAUAUAGUUUUCUCAUGUCUCAAACGGGCGGGCGUCUUAAUUGGCGCGG